Molecule: unclassified non-coding RNA, 635 nt
Filed under: Hevea brasiliensis (rubber tree)
Lineage: Eukaryota; Viridiplantae; Streptophyta; Magnoliopsida; Malpighiales; Euphorbiaceae
Source: RNAcentral
UAUAGUGUUAAUUCCCUCAAUCCUUAUCUAAUUAGGAGUCCUACUCAAUUUAGUAAUAACACUAAAAUAAGAUUUCUGCUCAUUAUAGGAAAUAUUCCUCAAUUUUAUUGAGUAAAAUUUCUCCCACUCAAAUUAGAAAAAGAUCUCUCUCCAAAUUCCAUUAGGAUUUUGAGUAAUAAUUUUAACAAUCUCCACGUUGACUCAAAAUCCAUCAACCAUUGCAUGUCUCAAAUUCUUGGGUGUCAUCAAAUCAUCAAACUUCCAUGCUUGAACUUGAACCCUUCAAAUCAUCAAUUCUUUAAUCAUCUUGGAUAUAACUUGCUUUAUUCUUAAAAAAAUCUUCAUGUCAUCAACUAUCUUGGUUUUACAUCAAGAGAUCCACCUAAAUUUUAUCUCUUCAUCACCUUGAACUUGCAUCAUUAUUAUUGCAUGUGCAACUUUCCACAUAUCACAAUAGCUCCACCUUUAACCAAACUCACCAAAAUCAUUCCAAUCCUCUGAUACCAAUUUGUUGUGCACCGCGUAAGUGUAUAAACUGCAAAGAAACAAAACAAACACACAAAACAUCAAUAUUUACGUGGUUCACCCACUCAACAUUGGACUACAUCCACGGGCAUGCCAUCUUUCACUAUCAA